ACAGACAGCAGAGGUGUGAAUCUGGGGUGUGUGGAACACGUCUGUUCCCAUGUGAAGCUCAAGCCUUCACACUUCCUGUUUCAUUGGGCCAUUCACCGACAAGAAGGCAGAAAUAGGAAACCUUCCAGCUAGUCAGCCUGCCAUGGGACUACGUGUGCUGUUUUAACACUUGAACUUGCACAGAUCUCUAGAGUUUGCUGCUUCAUUCCCACUGAUUCUGAUGAGGCUAGAGAACUGUGCUCCAUUCUGCAGCAAGGGCAGCUCACACACAUGCAACCAGGCUUCCUCCUGUCUUCCAGAAUAGCUAUAGAACCAGCUCAACGUUUGCUGCACAGCUAUGAUUCCAGAGACUUGGGAGGUAGAGGCAGAAGGAUCAGGCAUCCAAGGACAUCCUCAGCUACACAAAAGAAGCAAUCUUCAUGGUCACCAGCAGCAAACCAGCUACAAUUAGUCCCCAAGUCUUCCCCGCCCAGAUGGUCUGGUAUAUUCUGUCCAAGAUGAACAAUUGAAUCUUUUGUCUGUGGCAAAUGGGACGUCCUUGGAAGAUUGGAUGCCAUAGCAAAGCAGUAUUUUAGGAAGAUGAUUUUUUUUCCUCUCUCUAAAAGGGGAUGGUCCAGUCAUCUGUCAGUCACUCAUUGAUCUGUUAUACUAAACGCUUCUUCCAGACUACCUUGACACUUUUACUCAAUUUUUGCAAAUGGAGAAAAAGAGGGCUCCAGUGUAGAAUUUUAUAAAUUGCUAGGAGGUAAGAGAUUUGUGCUCAAAAGGAUCCAGAUAAACCACUGAAGCUCCCUAAGGCUCCUGAUCUGUAAAUGGGAAUAAACCAGCUAUCAUUUGGAAAUGAGUAUAGCCUGCCCAGCAUGGUUCCCAUGGUAUCAACCCCAGCUCUUCCAAUGUAGCUAACUUCACAGCAUCAUCACACCUACCAGCAGCAACUUGAGCCCACCAAAGCAGACCCUCCUGCAUGUACUGAAACCACACGCCACACACACCAUCCUGGGGUUUCUCCAAGUGUUGACCAACACGGAGGAGAUCCAACCAGGGACAAGGCCUGAGGAAGAACUUACUGGAAAUGUGUUAUAUAAUUAAGAAGUCUGAGCUAGCUCCUCAGGAAACCCAAUCAAGUGUUAAUCGAACCACUUGGUGGCAAUCCUCAGAAAACGUAAGGUGGUUGGAGACUCUGGGUCAUCAAAGUUUUCCUCACAGAUGUCAGACCUUC
Mastomys coucha (southern multimammate mouse) is the source of this 1219-nucleotide long non-coding RNA. RefSeq lists it as uncharacterized. NCBI's taxonomy places the organism in Eukaryota, Metazoa, Chordata, Mammalia, Rodentia, Muridae. The transcript is spliced from 5 exons. The record is from RefSeq and is a predicted model, not a curated record.